GUCCCUUAUAGUCAUUGUGUCACUGUUUAUCAUUACUGAUUUUUUGUUAAAAUUGCCCCCAGAAUGCAGGAAUAACGUUUCUAAGCCUUAGAAAAUCAAAAAUUUUCUGGGGAAGCAUGCAUCAACGACUCGACUCAGUAAAUCUAAGGCUGCGUUCAGACUGGGUCCCCGGCACUGGUGCCCGUCACUUGUUUUGGCGCCUAAUUUAAACACGACGCUUCCAAAUGAAAUUGGGCAGAAGUAGCCGGUAUUACCCAACAACGGUACUGUGCUCAACAUGUUUUGGGAACCAGAUUGAACAUUGCACAGCAGUGCCGGGCACUCAGUCUGAACGCAGCCUUAGAAUCC
Non-coding RNA from Paramuricea clavata, 348 nucleotides. NCBI's taxonomy places the organism in Eukaryota, Metazoa, Cnidaria, Anthozoa, Malacalcyonacea, Plexauridae. The record is from the annotation of a GenBank genome assembly.